RNAcentral lists this long non-coding RNA (369 nucleotides) under Homo sapiens (human). Its description in RNAcentral is "HSALNT0015075". Lineage: Eukaryota; Metazoa; Chordata; Mammalia; Primates; Hominidae. The record is from RNAcentral.
UCGCGGGAAGGUUGUGAUAAGUCCCUGAUAGCCUCCCGUGCCCUUUUUUGACAGGUCUUCACUGAUUCAUGCAUCAAAUAUUUACUGAACUCCGUCACUGUGCAGUGCCUAACUUUGUGCUUGAGGCAAACAAAACACAGAUCUAUUUCGAAUGCCAUUCCGAGGAAGAUCUGGAAUCAAGAGACCCAUGGCAUCUGAGUGCCUUAUGCCUCUGGCAUGCCCAUCAAGAAAAUAGGCCAUAGAAGUGUUGAUUCCUCAGGAGAGACAACAUAUAAAAAGCAACCUCAUCAGCCUUGAAAGGUGCCAUCCAGUUAGGCAUUACCCACACUGUGGGGAGCCUGAGUACCAAACCAGAGCGUGAUGUCCUCA